RNAcentral lists this ribosomal RNA (497 nucleotides) under uncultured bacterium. RNAcentral's name for it is "partial 16S ribosomal RNA". It matches the Rfam family "Bacterial small subunit ribosomal RNA", at positions 28 to 507 of the family's 1533-position model. The record is from RNAcentral.
GAUGAACGCUGGCGGCGUGCCUAAUACAUGCAAGUCGAGCGAACGGACGCGAAGCUUGCUGCUCUGAUGUUAGCGGCGGACGGGUGAGUAACACGUGGAUAACCUACCUAUAAGACUGGGAUCACUUCGGGAAACCGGAGCUAAUACCGGAUAAUAUUUUGAACCGCAUUGUUCAAAAGUGAAAGACGGUCUUGCUGUCACUUAUAGAUGGAUCCGCGCUGCAUUAGCUAGUUGGUAAGGUAAUGGCUUACCAAGGCAACGAUGCAUAGCCGACGUGAGAGGGUGAUCGGCCGCACUGGAACUGAGACACGGACCAGACUCCUGCGGGAGGCAGCAGUAGGGAAUCCGCCGCAAUGGGCGAGAGUCUGACGGAGCAACGCCGCGUGAGUGAUGGAGGUCUUCCGAUCGUAAAACUCUGUUAUUAGGGAAGAACAUAUGUGUAAGUAACUGUGCACAUCUUGACGGUACCUAAUCAGAAAGCCACGGCUAACUACGUG